CCGCUGCGUGUCGUCUAUCCUAUCUCCCUUUCUGAGCUCCGGCUCAGUCUAUCUGGUUCUUUUACUUUGAAAAAAUUAGAGUGUUUAAAGCAGGCGUUGCGCAUUGAAUACAUUAGCAUGGAAUAAUAACAUAGGACUUCGGCCUCUAUUUUGUUGGUUUCUAGAACUGAACUAAUGAUUGAUAGGGACAGCUGGGGGAGCUAGUAUUGAGCGGCCAGAGGUGAAAUUCUCGGAUUCGCUCAACACUAACUUAUGCGAAAGCAUUCACCAAGGUUUUUUUCUUUAAUCAAGAACGAAAGUUGCGGGAUCGAAGA
RNAcentral lists this ribosomal RNA (314 nucleotides) under uncultured eukaryote. RNAcentral's name for it is "bacterial SSU rRNA". It matches the Rfam family "Eukaryotic small subunit ribosomal RNA", at positions 691 to 1004 of the family's 1831-position model. The record is from RNAcentral.